AAACCAUGAUUGGGGCAAUUUCUUAGUAGCAUCUGAAAAUGCUCCCAAGCUUCAUAGAAUGCUUCAUCUACGCCUUGCCUGAAAGUGGAUAUUCAAAUUUGGCAU
Small nucleolar RNA from Lupinus angustifolius (narrow-leaved blue lupine), 105 nucleotides. It matches the Rfam family "Plant small nucleolar RNA R71". Rfam says of the family: R71 is a member of the C/D box family of snoRNAs containing the C (UGAUGA) and D (CUGA) box motifs. Multiple nearly identical copies of this snoRNA have been identified in Arabidopsis, and it is thought to function as a 2'-O-ribose methylation guide for 18S ribosomal RNA. NCBI's taxonomy places the organism in Eukaryota, Viridiplantae, Streptophyta, Magnoliopsida, Fabales, Fabaceae. The record is from Rfam.